AUUGAACGCUGGCGGCAGGCCUAACACAUGCAAGUCGAACGAGUGGCGGACGGGUGAGUAAUGUCUGGGAAACUGCCUGAUGGAGGGGGAUAACUACUGGGAACGGUAGCUACUACCGCAUACCAUCAGAUGUGCCCAGAUGGGAUUAGCUAGUGGGUGGGGUAACGGCUCACCAAGGCGACGAUCCGUAGCUGGUCUGAGAGGAUGACCAGCAACACUGGAACUGAGACACGGUCCAGACUCCUACGGGAGGCAGCAGUGGGGAAUAUUGGACAAUGGGCGAAAGCCUGAUCCAGCCAUGCCGCGUGUGUGAAGAAGGCCUUCGGGUUGUAAAGUACUUUCAGCGGGGAGGCAUUACCCGCAGAAGAAGCACCGGCUAACUCCGUGCCAGCAGCCGCGGUAAUAC
Molecule: ribosomal RNA, 406 nt
Filed under: uncultured bacterium
Lineage: Bacteria
Description: partial 16S ribosomal RNA
Rfam family: Bacterial small subunit ribosomal RNA
Source: RNAcentral